Leptonychotes weddellii (Weddell seal) is the source of this 4325-nucleotide non-coding RNA. Lineage: Eukaryota; Metazoa; Chordata; Mammalia; Carnivora; Phocidae. The record is from RefSeq and is a predicted model, not a curated record.
AUCUCCUCUUUUUUCCUGCAAAGUGUCCAAUGCUGUCUGAGGCUUGAAUCCAGCCUGAGAAACCACAUCUGAAAAACCCUGCCUAUGUCUGCAGUAUCAGCUUGGAUUCCUCAGGUUAUUCAGGGAUGGAUUAUCUUCAGCAGUGUUAAAUAUAUUACCAUCAAUUUAGGAGAUGGCUUCUUUGCAAAGGAAAGGGCUGCAGGCAAGGAUUCUCAGCUCUGAAGAAGAGGAGAAACUGAAAAGAGAUCAAGCUUUGGUGUCUGAUUUUAAGCAGCAAAAACUGGAAAAAGAGGCUCAGAAGAACUGGGACCUUUUUUACAAAAGGAAUAGUACUAACUUCUUCAAAGAUAGACACUGGACCACCAGAGAGUUUGAAGAGCUCAGAUCAUGUAGAGAGUUUGAAGAUCAAAAAUUGACUAUACUUGAAGCUGGCUGCGGUGUUGGGAACUGUUUAUUCCCACUUUUAGAAGAUCUGAAUAUCUUUGCCUAUGCCUGUGAUUUUUCUCCAAGAGCAGUUGAAUAUGUCAAGGAAAAUCCUUUAUAUGACACAGAAAGAUGCAAGGUGUUCCAGUGUGAUCUAACCAAAGAUGACCUUCUAGAACAUGUGCCCCCAGAGUCUGUGGAUGUUGUCAUGUUGGUAUUUGUACUCUCUGCUGUUCACCCUGAUAAGAUGCACCUUGUCUUACAAAAUAUUUACCAGACGAGAAAACACAGGGAUGAAAUUACUUGUUCAAGGUCAUUCAACUAGUUAUGGAAGAACUGGGAUAUGAAUCAAGAUUUCCAAAUUCCUGAGUAUUAAAACCAGGCAAAAGCGUCUUGUUUCGUGACUAUGGGCUGUAUGAUCAUGCCAUGCUUAGGUUUAAAGCUGGCAGCAAACUUGGAGAAAACUUUUACGCUAGACAAGAUGGAACCAGAUCAUAUUUUUUUACUGAUGAAUUCCUGGCUCGGCUCUUUACGGACACAGGUUAUGAAGAAGUGGUGAAUGAGUAUGUGUUUCGUGAGACGGUGAACAAAAAAGAAGGCCUGUGUGUGCCAAGAGUUUUCCUUCAGAGCAAAUUCCGAAAGUGUCCUAAGAACCCAACUCUGGGUCACAAGUCCUGACCUUUCACGAGGUUGACAUUUGUGCCUCCCCUUGAAGAGGAAAGUUUAAAGUCACUCUUUAUUUUGGAUAUUUUUAUAUUUUUUUAUAAUGAGGACAUAUAAUUUUUAUAUUAAAAAGUAGCAAGUGUCUGUGUGUGUCUUAUGGAAAUGCAAAUAAAAUUGCAAGGGCUGAAAAGUGAAGUUUUACAGUAUAAUGUAAUGUAGCCAUGCUGUCUGACUAAAAUUCCACCAAGGGGAAAGCAUAAGCACUAAAAGAGAUCCUUGCCAUCGGUAAAUGUGCCGUGAUUCAGUAAAUGUGCCUCCAGGCAGCAUGUCAGGCAAUCCUGUGGAAAAAUGAGGCCAAAUAGACUAAAAUAACACAUCCGGAUGUAUUUUUAGCCUGAAGGAUUGUUCUCUUUCUAGUGUCUCUCAUUUGCCCAUUUCUCUCUGCUUCCGUUCAUUUAUGUGCCUCUUCAGGACCAGUGUCACACAUACAGCUUUUGCUAGGACUCAAGAACCCACCAUGGCGCCCUGCCUAAUUCCUGAGACCCUCUCUAAUUGAGCCAGGACCUGGCCACACUGCCCCCGGGGAGAGAGGGGAACGCCAUCACCUGUCCUCCCCAUCUACCCGAUGCAGUUUCUCCAGGAAUACAGUGGAUGGACUGUCCCUGUAAAGGACAGUCCGACCCCAUAAAGGAAGGACCGCAGAGUUUUCACUUGGAAUAUUUAAGGUUGGCGUAAUGACAUACUACCCACCUUGGACAUUGACAUUGAGCAAGGUAACCUCUCAGUGACCCACUUUAAAAUAUGUUGGUUGUAAGGUCUACUUAAAUGAUGUGACGUAGUCCUUCAGAGUUUUAGCCUUGAGCCAAUGGAUUGGAUUAAGAAACCAUAAAAAUAAGGCUAAGCAUAAUAAAAACAAGGCUUCAGUCCCACUGCCUCUGGGUCCCCCUGUUGAUUCUCCCCAGGCAAACCUCUUAUUGCACCCCAGGUUAAGACAGAGCAGCAGGGAUUUCCACGGGUUGGGUGCCCAGGGACCCAGGGAAGCAAAGCCACAGUUUUAGUAGCAAAACUUGAACAUGUGUUAAAUCAUAGACUACGAACAGUCCACCAAUAUUGCCUUGUCUUCACAGAAAGCAGCUCCAGAAAGGCAGUGAGUACUAGUUAACAGUAUUAUAGAGAAUAGUAUAAGUACCAUAAUAUUAUAUAGUAUGGUAUAUAUACUAUGUCUAGCAUACAUACUAUACAAUAUGUAUCCUAUACCAUAUAGUACAAGGUAUUUCUUUUGAGUUUUUGGUAUGUACUACAUACAGAAAUGCUAAUAAAGUUGUAUCACGUGAUUUGGAGUUUGGAAAUCUGGGUUCAAGUGCAGGACUAUACCCCCGACAAGUCACCAGCUUUCCGGAGCCUCAGCUUUCCCAUCUCUAAGGCUGAGCCCCUGUGACCUACAGGGUUGCUGCCCGUGCUAAAUGAGAUCAUAGAAUUGGGAGUGCUUUGUUUACUAAAAAGUGCCAGCCAAGUGCUAGUUAUUUCUAUUAGUUUGUAUUCCCCAUGAAAAUGGUCUCUCCCAUUAUUAAAUCCUAAUUCUUCUUCCGGAAGGCUUUUAAUCUUGGGGUCCUCCAAAGGGCCUGGGAUUUGGAUGUGCUGCCGCAAGGUGGCGCUAGAUACUCAAUAAUCCCAUUGGCCUUUGUUCUCAUUUUAAUCGUGGUUCUAGCAUGUCCGUUUUUAUUGUUGUUGAAAAGGAAGGAAAAUGCUUACAAAUGUGUUUUCUAGGUCAGCUUUAUCUCGUAAGAUCAAUUUUGGCCUCGCUGUGGAAAUAAGAAGUAAGGAUUCUUUUAUCCAGCAUUCAGUCUACUUUACCUACUGAAGGUCUCUCCAGAAAAUACUCUUCCAGCCCCUGCCAGGUGGAUACCAUCCUAGCUACCCGUGAUCUGGGAGCCCAGCCAGUGGGGAGAAUCUCAACAUUUGGUAUGUAAGCUUUCACUUAGUUUACUGGGGAAGUUUUAGUGGAGUGCCAUUUACAAUAUAGUACUCCAUCCUCAAUUUUGCCCCGUGUCUCCUUAUCCAGAGACAUUUUGUGUUUAGCCUCUAGUCUUGUUCUGGGGUGGGGAUCAUACACUUGUCUGGCAUGUGGACAUGGGGACGGGGCUUGGGGGGUGUAUCUGCUCCUUAAGACCUCUCAGCCAGUCCUUUGAUUUUCAAACCUGUCUAUACCGACACUUCUAGAAAUAGCUGGUACUGCCAAAUCCUGAGGCAUAAAACCUUUGGGAGUUCUCAAUGCAAACUGAGUUGCUUCUUGUCUUUCAUCAGUACUGGCUUAAGAUUCAGCUUCUCAAGUCUUCUAGGUGGGCUGCUAUUCAUCCUUCUGCUUUCAAGUCCCCCACAGUUUGUCAUGUCUUUAUUGACUUUAUCCUGUAAAAAAAAUCCUUUUGCUGUUAUUUUAGUGGGCUUUCCAGAAGGAGCUGAAAUAAGGGCAUGCACUUAAUCUGCCAUCUUUAACCAGUGGGGUUGGGAAGGAAAAGGCAGCCCAUAGAUGGAGGGACCAUUUGAGGAGGAAAGAGAUUGGGAUGAUUGCCAAGUGCAAAGGGGCUGAAGGAUCUGGAAGAACGGAGGCAACUCAGGGAUGCUGAACUUGUUGGCAUGUGCUUAGAACUAAAGAAACGUUAGUUCCAGGCAUUCCCUUGGGCAGAGCCCAGGAUGUUGCUGAAUGAGAGUCAGGUCGCUAUGCAGAGAGCUGCUUCAACCUGUGCAGUACAGAUCAAGGACCUUAGCAAUGGCCAGACUUUUUUCCCAUUAACUUAAUUUGUAGGAUUGCUUCCUAGGAGAGAAGCUAACAUAUCUAUAAGGAUGUCUUUAGAAAGAUGUUUAUUAGCAGCAUUAUUUGUGAUACUAAAUAUUAGGAACAGUCUAAACCAGGGCUCAGCCACUAUGGCCGAUGGAUGAAAUUGAGCCCUCCUGUUUCGGUAAGGAAAGUUGCCCUGGCACAGCCACACCCAUGUACACGUUGUUCAUAUUUCCUUUCAUGCUGUAACAGCAGAGACUAUGGCCAGCAAAGCCUAGACUAUUUACUAACUGGUCCUUUAAGACAAAGUUUGCUGACCGCUGCUCUAAAUGACUAGUAAGAGAAUGGAUAAGCCAACUAAGGUACAUCAUACGACAAAAUAGGAUAUAAUCCAUGAACAUUAUAUCUAGGAAAAAGUUUUGUUUUUUUUUUUAAACUGGUAAAAAAUACGCAUAACAUAAAA